GGACGAACGCUGGCGGCGUGCUUAACACAUGCAAGUCGAACGGAAAGGCCCUGCUUUUGUGGGGUGCUCGAGUGGCGAACGGGUGAGUAACACGUGAGUAACCUGCCCUUGACUUUGGGAUAACUUCAGGAAACUGGGGCUAAUACCGGAUAGGAGCUCCUGCUGCAUGGUGGGGGUUGGAAAGUUUCGGCGGUUGGGGAUGGACUCGCGGCUUAUCAGCUUGUUGGUGGGGUAGUGGCUUACCAAGGCUUUGACGGGUAGCCGGCCCGAGAGGGUGACCGGCCACAUUGGGACUGAGAUACGGCCCAGACUCCUACGGGAGGCAGCAGUGGGGAAUAUUGCACAAUGGACGGAAGCCUGAUGCAGCAACGCCGCGUGCGGGAUGACGGCCUUCGGGUUGUAAACCGCUUUCGCCUGUGACGAAGCGUGAGUGACGGUAAUGGGUAAAGAAGCACCGGCUAACUACGUG
This 469-nucleotide ribosomal RNA is filed under the name uncultured bacterium. Its description in RNAcentral is "partial 16S ribosomal RNA". It matches the Rfam family "Bacterial small subunit ribosomal RNA", at positions 27 to 507 of the family's 1533-position model. The record is from RNAcentral.